AUAGUUGGCCAUAUCAUCUUGAGAAUGCCCACUCUUGUCAGAUCUCGGAAGCUAAGCAGGGUUGUUCCUCUUUAGUACUUGAAUGGGACACUUUUGAGCAGGUGCCAUCAUUG
RNAcentral lists this ribosomal RNA (113 nucleotides) under Periophthalmus magnuspinnatus. The record is from RNAcentral. Lineage: Eukaryota; Metazoa; Chordata; Actinopteri; Gobiiformes; Gobiidae.